GAUGAACGCUGGCGGCGUGCCUAAUACAUGCAAGUCGAGCGAACAGACGAGGAGCUUGCUCCUCUGACGUUAGCGGCGGACGGGUGAGUAACACGUGGAUAACCUACCUAUAAGACUGGGAUAACUUCGGGAAACCGGAGCUAAUACCGGAUAAUAUAUUGAACCGCAUGGUUCAAUAGUGAAAGACGGUUUUGCUGUCACUUAUAGAUGGAUCCGCGCCGCAUUAGCUAGUUGGUAAGGUAACGGCUUACCAAGGCAACGAUGCGUAGCCGACCCGAGAGGGUGAUCGGCCACACUGGAACUGAGGCACGGUCCAGACUCCUACGGGAGGCAGCAGUAGGGAAUCUUCCGCAAUGGGCGAAAGCUUGACGGAGCAACGCCGCGUGAGUGAUGAAGGUCUUCGGAUCGUAAAACUCUGUUAUUAGGGAAGAACAAAUGUGUAAGUAACUAUGCACGUCUUGACGGUACCUAAUCAGAAAGCCACGGCUAACUACGUG
This 497-nucleotide ribosomal RNA is filed under the name uncultured bacterium. RNAcentral describes it as "partial 16S ribosomal RNA". It matches the Rfam family "Bacterial small subunit ribosomal RNA", at positions 28 to 507 of the family's 1533-position model. The record is from RNAcentral.